GAAAUGCGAUAAGUAAUGUGAAAUGCAGAAUUCAGUGAAUCAUCGAAUCUUUGAACGCACCUUGCGCUCCUUGGUAUUCCUUGGAGCAUGCCUGUUUGAGUAUCAUGAAAUCUUCAAAGUAAAUCUUUUGUUAACUCAAUUGGUUUCUACUUUGGUAUUGGAGGUCUUUGCAGCUUCACACCUGCUCCUCUUUGUUCAUUAGCUGGAUCUCAGUGUUAUGCUUGGUUCCACUCGGCGUGAUAAGUUAUCUAUCGCUGAGGACACUGUAAAAGGUGGCCAAGGUAAAUGCAGAUGAACCGCUUCUAAUAGUCCAUUGACUUGGACAAUACUUUUAUGAUCUGAUCUCAAAUCAGGUAGGACUACCCGCUGAACUUAAGC
This 378-nucleotide unclassified non-coding RNA is filed under the name plant metagenome. RNAcentral describes it as "partial contains 5.8S ribosomal RNA, internal transcribed spacer 2, and large subunit ribosomal RNA". The stretch from base 1 to 105 matches the Rfam family "5.8S ribosomal RNA", at positions 50 to 154 of the family's 154-position model. The record is from RNAcentral.